Molecule: long non-coding RNA, 754 nt
Filed under: Homo sapiens (human)
Lineage: Eukaryota; Metazoa; Chordata; Mammalia; Primates; Hominidae
Description: HSALNT0328686
Source: RNAcentral
GGGAUAUAAAAAUAAUGCAUUGUAUGCCGGAAGGGAUAAAUCUGGGGCUGAGUACAAGCAAAACAAGACCAAAGGAAGCUACCUGAGCAGGUAUUCCAGAUACUCAUGUCAUACACCAAGGUUGUACCAGUGCCCCUUUCUCUGUGACACAUCCAUCCACUGGAAACUUUCGUACAACUAGCUGAAAGAAGAGAAACAUCCUAUUUCAUGUCACUGGAGCCCUAAUGAUCGCAGCCAUUUCAGGAAAUGCCAUCAAUUACAGUGAGGAGCUCAUUCAGAAGUGAAAGAUGAGUUCCAUUCUCUGUUACUUAGAGGGUGGAUAUCCUCCUCCACUGAAUGCAAACUAUUAAGUAAUGAAAAGACAGCACUCCAAGCAAUAUAGAUUUAUAGGCCAACCUGGCAAUCAAGGGUAACUGACAUGAAAAUGGAUUGCUUCACAUUUUAAUUACAAAGAUACUCUUCAGUACCAUAAAUUGAAGAAAACACUAACUUUUUGUGGCUACUGUAAUUGUCAAAGUAUAAUUACCUGUGUUUUCUCACCUACGUAUUUGAGAUAGAGACAAAACCAAGUUAUUUUCCACACUAACUUGAUUUUUGGACCAUCUCCCUGCUAAACACUUCACAUUUCAGUUCCUCUCUGAGCCUUUAGCGGAGAUUAAAGUAGCAGUUAAAGCUGGCUAUGCCCAACAGUCAAGGCAAAUUUUGUUUACAAGAUGCUUCCUGUUACAGUGUUUGUAUUAUCUAAAAAACAGGC